This is an RNA transcript of Jaculus jaculus (lesser Egyptian jerboa), 3320 nucleotides long. It is a transcript of the gene named 24-hydroxycholesterol 7-alpha-hydroxylase, with no coding region annotated. The transcript has 14 exons. NCBI's taxonomy places the organism in Eukaryota, Metazoa, Chordata, Mammalia, Rodentia, Dipodidae. The record is from RefSeq and is a predicted model, not a curated record.
UCCUGCUCCUGCGGUGGAGGAGCUGCCGUCGACCCCCGUGCAUCCGCGGCUCCAUUCCCUGGAUCGGAGCUGGGCUGGAGUUUGGAAAGGCACCCCUAGAAUUUAUAGAGAAGGCCAGAAUCAAGUACGGACCAAUAUUUACAGUCUUUGCUAUGGGAAACCGAAUGACAUUUGUUACUGAAGAAGAAGGAAUCGAUGUGUUUCUAAAAUCCAGACAUGUCGAUUUUGAACUAGCCGUCCAAAAUCCCGUCUACUAUACAGCAUCAAUUCCAAAGAAGCUCUUUUUCACACUUCAUGAAAAACUGUAUGUUAUGAUGAAAGGAAAAAUGGGUCCUUUGAGCAUCUGUCAGUUUACUGGGCAACUGACUGAGGCAUUACACGAGCAACUGGAAAAUUUAGGCUCUCAUGGGAUGAUGGAUCUGAACCACUUAGUAAGGCGUCUCCUCUAUCCAGCCACCAUGAGCACGCUCUUUAAGAAAGGUUUGUUUCUCACAAAUGAAAGGAAAAUCCAGGAGUUCUACCAGCAUUUUCAAACUUAUGAUGAGGGAUUUGAGUAUGGAUCCCAGCUUCCAGAGUGGUUCCUAAGAAACUGGUCAAAAUCCAAAAGGUGGCUCUUAGCAUUGUUAGAGACAAAUAUUCCAGAAAUAAAAGCACAUAGAUCUGCAAAAGAUAAUUCUGCAACACUCAUGCAGGCAUUGCUGGAUAUCGUAGAGAAGGAAACAGACAAGCAAAGACCCAAUUAUGGGCUGUUACUGCUUUGGGCUUCUCUAUCUAAUGCUGCUCCUAUUGCAUUCUGGACACUCGCAUUUGUCCUGUCUCAUCCUGAUGUCCACAGGGCCAUUUUAGAAGGCAUGUCGUCUGUGUUCGGCACAGCAGGUAAAGAUAAGAUAAAAGUGUCUGAGGAUGACUUGAAGAAACUCCUUCUCAUUAAGUGGUGCAUUUUGGAAGCCAUUCGUUUACGAGCUCCUGGGGUCAUUACCAGAAAAGUAGUGAAGCCAGUUAAAAUUUUGAAUUACACAGUUCCUUCUGGCGACUUGUUGAUGUUGUCUCCAUUCUGGCUACACAGAAAUCCGAAGUAUUUUCCUGAACCUGACUCGUUCAAACCUGAACGCUGGAAAAAGGCAAAUUUAGAGAAGCAUGCUUUCUUGGACUGCUUCAUGGCAUUUGGCGGUGGGAAGUUCCAGUGUCCUGGCAGGUGGUUUGCUCUGCUAGAGAUUCAAAUAUGUAUUAUCUUAAUACUUUAUAAAUACGAUUGCAGACUUCUGGACCCAUUACCAAAACAGAGCUGUCUCCAUCUGGUGGGUGUCCCUCAACCAGAAGGGCAAUGCCAAAUCGAGUAUAAGCAAAGGGUGUGACGCCUGCUAUGUCUGAAGAGGACCAGAGCCUUCUGCAGGAGUGACAUUGUCCCCCCCUCCACCCUGAAAGCUCCUCACCCCGGAGCUGCCCAAACGGCCCCUGCGUUCAUUCCCUCCAGGAUCAAGUGCGUCACAUCAUCGCUCUCCCUGCCAGAGAAACCCAAACAUCCAGUGACAGCGUCGUCGUCUCUGCACAGAACAAUCAACCUCUGCUUACUGAGUUGAUUCUUAUUUUCAUCAAGGUGGAAGUGCUUUUUUGACUCAAAGUGUUUUCAGUUAUAGUUCCGCAAAGAUGCUAGUUUUGCUGACAUGUAGAACACACAUCGAAUGCUAUGUCCAGAAAAAUAACUGCACUUGGAAUCUAUUACACAGCUCUUACCACUGUGGAAUCCGCUGCAUGAAAUCCUGGAAGAAAACAUUCCAUUCAGGGAAACACGGCACCAGUAAUAGUGAACGCAGUCAUGCCCAGUAUCCAAAGAAUUCUUGAAGGAAGUUUUGGGGCCCAUCGUCCCCUGGGUUUAGCUGCUUCUCUAUCCUAACAUCAUCCCAUGGAGCUGGUAAUGAUUGCUUAGUCAUUCCUCUGUGUACAAGCACACAGCUUCCUAGGAGAAAACGGUCCUUCCAUCUCACAGGCCCAUUUGGUGGCUGCGAAGCUUAGCUCGCAGCUCACCUUGGCUUCGCCAACUUGGGGGUCAGGACUGGGUCUGCAGAGGCUGCAGAUGGCAAAGGGGAAAGUCUGCAGCCACACUGACAGCUGCCACCACCUCUAGGCAGGUUCUACCAAAGAGACGGCUGUGUUCCGAGGGGAGGCCUGUCCCCCAGAUGGCUAGGCCCAUGGUGAAGCCUCGUGUUUGCACAGGAUAGCUGCUUGAAUUAAGUUGCAUGUGCUCAGAGAAAAUAUUUGUUUAUUCUUGCUUAGUAAUGGCAAAUGUUACCAGACAAGUCUAUGCAGUUUCAGAUCGACUGGGUGUAAGGAGGUCAGUUCACAUGCGCAGUCAUGACUAGCUCAUGGGUGUAAGGAGGUCAGUUCACAUGCGUAGUCAUGACUAGCUCAUGCUUGGAGCUGCCCUGUCUACUUCCUUAAGUUUUACAUCACAUAUAAGAUGAUAGCCUCCCAUGGGAACUGAAUUUUUCUGAAAGCAGAGUCUGAGACAGAUUGGUGUACAGAGGUAAGGGAGUGAAGAAGCCUCAGGAUGACAUUAGUGAGGUGUUGUGGCAUCAGAGCGUAGGCUGGGACUGCCUGAGGAGACUCCCCAGGCACUGUCCACCUGAGGGACAAGAGGUGGGAGUGGCCACUGGAGUGCACUGAUUGAUGAGCAAGCGUUCUUGGAGAUGUUAACCUGCACGUCCAAGCCGCUUCCGUGUGGGCAUUCAGCCCAUUUGUCGUCAGAGAAGCCUUGGCACACUUGGCAUGAGGUGAGCCUGAGCCCCUGUGGAUUUGUUGCCUUCUGUGAGCUGAAGCUGGGCUGAGGGAUACGAUCUGGGGGCCACCGGGAAUAUGGGAUGUACCCCACUCCGUGCUCCACCCAGGUCUCCCCCUGCUGCCCUCUGUCAGCUCCGGCUAUACCUUCUUUAGGUGCUGGCUACCCACUAAAGACCAGUUCACUUUGGCUAACGCUGCCUUUGCACACGUUUUCGGUUGUGCUGACAGGUCUGCACACUCACAGUGAGCUAGAGAACUGCGACCCACCUUGGGGCAUAAACUGACUGUAAUGUGCUCUUGUAGCAUUUAGCUGAGUUGUAGCCAAUCACACGUGGCCGAACGUUCAAACCAUGUCCAGAUCAGACAGGUGCGGGCCAGUCAGGCUCCGCACCUCAUUCUGUUUUCUGUCCAUCACUUUCUUUUAUCAAAAAUAUUUUCAUUUAUUUAUUUGCAAGCAGAGAGUGAUAAAAGAGACAGAGUGGGCGCACCAGGGCCUCUAGCUGCUGCUGACAAACUCCAGAUGCAUGGGCCACUUUGUGCAU